GCGCCCGUAGCUCAGCAGGACAGAGCAGCGGUUUCCUAAACCGCGUGUCAGGGGUUCGAGUCCUCUCGGGCGCACCA
Molecule: transfer RNA, 77 nt
Filed under: Syntrophomonadaceae bacterium
Lineage: Bacteria; Bacillati; Bacillota; Clostridia; Eubacteriales; Syntrophomonadaceae
Description: tRNA-Arg
Rfam family: tRNA
About the family: Transfer RNA (tRNA) molecules are approximately 80 nucleotides in length. Their secondary structure includes four short double-helical elements and three loops (D, anti-codon, and T loops).
Source: RNAcentral